This is a non-coding RNA of Desulfosporosinus lacus DSM 15449, 229 nucleotides long. The record is from Rfam. Lineage: Bacteria; Bacillati; Bacillota; Clostridia; Eubacteriales; Desulfitobacteriaceae.
AUAACAACUGUGAAAAGGAUAGUAAUAAAGAACUUGGGUUUUAGAGACAUAAUCCUCGGGUGAAAGAUUAUGACGAAGGUUUUUUAUGAAGAUCACCUUGGAGUUGGGCGGCUGAAAUAAUCUAAGCUGUUCCGUAGACAUACGUUACAUGUUUUAAGCGAUUAAUGGCUUGUUUAUUUAAGCUAUCCAUUAAUAACAAGGGUGGUACCGCGGAUAAUCCGUCCCUGAG